RNAcentral lists this unclassified non-coding RNA (270 nucleotides) under uncultured fungus. RNAcentral's name for it is "partial contains 5.8S ribosomal RNA, internal transcribed spacer 2, and large subunit ribosomal RNA". Lineage: Eukaryota; Fungi. The record is from RNAcentral.
AACGCAUAUUGCGCCCCUUGGCAUUCCGAGGGGCAUGCCUGUUCGAGCGUCAUUAUCACCCCUCAAGCCCCCGGCUUGGUGUUGGACUCAGUCGUCGCUCGUCCGGUGACUGGUCUCGAAGACAGUGACGCCGUCCCAGAGGGAACCGGUACGAGGAGCUUUCUUAAUCGAAGCAUGUGCCGGGAAGACUUUCGCGGGCGGUGGUCUCUUACACCCACAAAUUUUUCAAGUGUUGACCUCGGAUCAGGUAGGAAUACCCGCUGAACUUAA